This 1666-nucleotide long non-coding RNA is filed under the name Homo sapiens (human). RNAcentral's name for it is "long independently transcribed non-coding RNA 693 (LINC00693)". Lineage: Eukaryota; Metazoa; Chordata; Mammalia; Primates; Hominidae. The record is from RNAcentral.
ACGCCAAACUCCGGCGCGCCGCGAGACUCGCGUCCUCGCUGUCCCCGAGGGGCCCCACCCCUUCCCGGUUCUAACCUGCGACCUGGCCAGAGGCAAGGUGAAUGGGAAGAUGGAGAUGGAUGUUGAGGGAGUUUCUCCGCGCCCGGAGCCCAUCCCCCGCUCCCAGGGGGCUGGCGGAGCCUGCCAGGCGCCGCCACAGCCGCCCCAGCCCCAGCCGCCGCCUCAGCAGCUGGCUCAGGAUGAACUGCCCGGCGAGAGUGCAGGCGCUGAGGACAGCGACGAUCCCGAGACGAGACCCAACGGCGAGAAAGGAGAGAGCAAGUAUUUCAGUGACAUCAUCCACUCAGGAGAGUUGGGGCGAGGCUGGCUGAGGUUCUCAAGGAGCUGAGUUUUGAGUUCAGGUGCUCGUGUAGCAGUGGAAUGAUGCCUCCUGACCUUUCAGACCUUUGAGACCUCUGGGCGGUCUUAGAAAUCACUUCAAGCCUCCAGUCCAGGAUACGACUGCCUAGGGGAAUUCCAGGGAAAGGUGGCAGAGAUGCCAUGGACUACAAGGUGAUGAAUACCACUAUGAGCUCACUACAAGAUCUCAAAGAUUUCAAGCCACUGGCUGUUACAAAGCAUAAAGCCACCCUUCUGGAGCAGCGGCGGGAGGCAGGCUGGGAGGAGGCCCCAAGUUUUGGCCAGACGAUAGACCACCUCCUUAGGUGUCCGGGGAGCUGCUGAAACAUAAUGAGGAAGAUGCUGCUGAUCCAAAGGAUAAAAACACAGAAACUAGAACCAAGAAGCACCUAAAGUGGACUCAUGCCCAGCAUCCCUGCAGACUGACUUUCUCUGAGCUAUAGUUCUGCAUUGGACUGUUUUUCCUUUGCUAUCACCUGCCCAACACACAAUCCUGGAUGCUUUUGAUUGGUUGGAUUUCUUUUUUUUUUUUCCUGCCUUUUCUUUUUCUUUCCUUGACCCUGGGAAUUAUAAACGAGAAAUUGCUUUAAAAAGUAUUGUUCUGUGCUAAAAUUAGCCUUGUUUAUGAACAAGUUUUAUCCCUAGGGAUUUCCUGAAUUGCAAUCCCAGAUUACCUUGUAAAUGGGGCUGUGUUGUUUGAUUUGUAUAGUACUGAUCUGUAGGUUAAAAUACGUUUCCUUUCUUUUGUUUCAUUCUUUUUUUAAAAGUCUGGAUCCAGGUAAUGGCCUGAGUCACAUUUGCUUAGCUACUGAAGCGAUCUCAAUAUGUUAUCGCUUAGAGUUGAAACAUAAUCAAACAUACGUUAUACCUGGGGCUCUUGCACACUAUUUGAUAUAUAUAUGUUACUCUACAAAGAAACACAAACCUUGUAUGUUGAAAUGUAAUUCCUGUUUGAUCCUGCAGCUAGAAUGCUAAAGAAAUUGCAAAUAUCAAAAGUGACUUCAAAUACCCUGAAUAUAAGCUAGUCAACAGUAAGUGGAUGGUUCCAGAAUACCAUAUUCUAAGACAAAGCAGGAAUUAGAGAUCAACUGACCUCAUCCAUAAUGUUGCUCAGGUCUGUCUGUGGAUCUGUCCAUUUUGGAGUAAAAAACAAGGCAUGCUUCUGUGAUUGUGUUUAUGAAAACUGUAGUAUUUCAGAUUUAUGUUUUGCAAUUGUGCCUGCCUUGCAAUAAAACACCUUCAGUUGACUCAGCAAAAAAAAAAAAAA